This 497-nucleotide ribosomal RNA is filed under the name uncultured bacterium. RNAcentral describes it as "partial 16S ribosomal RNA". It matches the Rfam family "Bacterial small subunit ribosomal RNA", at positions 28 to 507 of the family's 1533-position model. The record is from RNAcentral.
GAUGAACGCUGGCGGCGUGCCUAAUACAUGCAAGUCGAGCGAACAGACGAGGAGCUUGCUCCUCUGACGUUAGCGGCGGACGGGUGAGUAACACGUGGAUAACCUACCUAUAAUACGGGUAUAACUUCGGGAAACCGGAGCUAAUACCGGAUAAUAUAUUGAACCGCAUUGGUCAAUGGUGAAAUACGGUGUUUCUGGCACUUAUAGAUGGAUCCGCGCGGCAUUAGCUAGUUGGUAAGGUAACGGCUUACCAAGGCGACGAUGCGUAGCCGACCUGAGGGGGUGAUAGGCCACACUGGAACUGAGACACGGUCCAGACUCCUACGGGAGGCAGCAGUAGGGAAUCUUACGCAAUGGGCGAAAGCCUGACGGAGCAACGCCGCGUGAGUGAUGAAGGUCUUCGGAUCGUAAAACUCUGUAAUUAGGGAAGAACAAAUGUGUAAGUAACUAUGCACUUCUUGACGGUAACUAAUCAGAAAGCAACGGCUAACUACGUG